UACAGAGGAUGCAAGCGUUAUCCGGAAUGAUUGGGCGUAAAGCGUCUGUAGGUGGCUUUUUAAGUCCGCCGUCAAAUCCCAGGGCUCAACUCUGGACAGGCGGUGGAAACUACCAAGCUGGAGUACGGUAGGGGCAGAGGGAAUUUCCGGUGGAGCGGUGAAAUGCGUAGAGAUCGGGAAGAACACCCGUGGCGAAGGCGGUGUGCUGGGUUGCAACUGACGCUGAGAUGCGAAAGUGUGGGGAGCAAACGGG
RNAcentral lists this ribosomal RNA (253 nucleotides) under uncultured bacterium. RNAcentral's name for it is "partial 16S ribosomal RNA". It matches the Rfam family "Bacterial small subunit ribosomal RNA", at positions 524 to 776 of the family's 1533-position model. The record is from RNAcentral.